This 262-nucleotide unclassified non-coding RNA is filed under the name uncultured fungus. Its description in RNAcentral is "partial contains 5.8S ribosomal RNA and internal transcribed spacer 2". The stretch from base 1 to 133 matches the Rfam family "5.8S ribosomal RNA", at positions 22 to 154 of the family's 154-position model. Rfam says of the family: 5.8S ribosomal RNA (5.8S rRNA) is a component of the large subunit of the eukaryotic ribosome. The record is from RNAcentral. Lineage: Eukaryota; Fungi.
UGGUUCGAGCAUCGAUGAAGAACGCAGCGAAAUGCGAUAAUUAAUGUGAAUUGCAGAAUCCAGUGAAUCAUCGAGUUUUUGAACGCACAUUGCACCUUUUGGUAUUCCGAGAGGUAUGCUUGUUUGAGCGUCACUACAUCUUCGGUCCGCCGGUUUUGUAUCCCCGACGGGGGUAUCAAAUGUAUGACACAGUUGUGAGCAGUAACUUUUCCUCUCAACUGACUCUCUCCUUGACCUCAAAUCAAGCAAGAUUACCCGCUGA